GAUGAACGCUGGCGGCGUGCCUAAUACAUGCAAGUCGAGCGAACAGACGAGGAGCUUGCUCCUCUGACGUUAGCGGCGGACGGGUGAGUAACACGUGGAUAACCUACCUAUAAGACUGGGAUAACUUCGGGAAACCGGAGCUAAUACCGGAUAAUAUAUUGAACCGCAUGGUUCAAUAGUGAAAGACGGUUUUGCUGUCUCUUAUAGAUGGAUCCGCGCCGCAUUAGCUAGUUGGUAAGGUAACGGCUUACCAAGGCAACGAUGCGUAGCCGACCUGAGAGGGUGAUCGGCCACACUGGAACUGAGACACGGUCCAGACUCCUACGGGAGGCAGCAGUAGGGAAUCUUCCGCAAUGGGCGAAAGCCUGACGGAGCAACGCCGCGUGAGUGAUGAAGGUCUUCGGAUCGUAAAGCUCUGUUAUUAGGGAAGAACAAAUGUGUAAGUAACUAUGCACGUCUUGACGGUACCUAAUCAGAAAGCCCCGGCUAACUACGUG
RNAcentral lists this ribosomal RNA (497 nucleotides) under uncultured bacterium. Its description in RNAcentral is "partial 16S ribosomal RNA". It matches the Rfam family "Bacterial small subunit ribosomal RNA", at positions 28 to 507 of the family's 1533-position model. The record is from RNAcentral.